CUAUACAUGACUCUGCGCAUAUCAAUAAGCGGAGGAAAAGAAACUAACUAGGAUUCCCUUAGUAAUGACGAGUGAAGCGGGAAGAUCUUACUCGCUUGCGCUAUUUUACCUACGCUUAGGAUGUUGAAGAUAUGCGCGACACGACUCUAUACAUGACUCUGUGCAUAUCAAUAAGCGGAGGAAAAGAGGGCUAUUACCUACGCUUAGGAUGUUGAAGAUAUGCGCGACACGACUCUAUACAUGACUCUGCGCAUAUCAAUAAGCGGAGGAAAAGAAACUAACAAGGAUUCCCCUAGUAACGGCGAGUGAAGCGGGAAGAGCUCAAAUUUGAAAUCUUCAAGGGUUUCCCUUGACGAAUUGUAGUUUAAAGAAGUGUUUUCUGUUAGAGAGGCGGUAAAAGUUCUUUGGAAUAGGACAUCAUAGAGGGUGAGAAUCCCGUAUUUGAUCACUCUCUACUAACGUUGUGAUACACUUUCAAAGAGUCGGAUUGUUUGGGAAUGCAGUCCAAAAUGGGUGGUAAAUUUCAUCUAAAGCUAAAUACUGGCGAGAGACCGAUAGCGAACAAGUACCGUGAGGGAAAGAUGAAAAGAACUUUGAAAAGAGAGUUAAACAGUACGUGAAAUUGUCAAAAGGGAAGCGUUUGACACCAGUGUUGUUUUCUCGAAAAUCAAUUAAAAAUGGCGGGAUUUUGUGUUGUAUUGACUUUAUCAGCUUUCUGCACUUUUUUCCUGUCUUUUUUAAUGCACUUUUCGUUCAACAAGUCAACAUCAAUUUCUUUUGUUGUAAAAGAGUCAUUGGAAGGUGGCUUCCUUUUCGGAGAAAGUGUUUAUAGCCUUUGACUUCUGCAAUCGGAGAGAUUGAGGUCUGCAGCGUAGAUCCUUCGGGGUUAGAUACAUUUGUGCUAAGCUAUAGCCUUUCAUAGACAACUUGUUGACUAUGAUCAGUCAUGUAGCUUACUCGCUUAUGCUAUUUUACCUACGCUUAGGAUGUUGAAGAUAUGCGCGACACG
Molecule: ribosomal RNA, 1009 nt
Filed under: uncultured Neocallimastigales
Lineage: Eukaryota; Fungi; Neocallimastigomycota; Neocallimastigomycetes; Neocallimastigales
Description: partial large subunit ribosomal RNA
Rfam family: Eukaryotic large subunit ribosomal RNA (bases 225-1009)
Source: RNAcentral